CAGCCCUGUCCUGCUCGUGGGGGAGGGGCAGGAGGGGUCUGCUCCUCUGCUUCCAUUGCGACCGCGGCAGGUUGUUAGUUACCAAACAGAGAGAGAAGAUGAGCUCCUGCUUGGAUUUUUUUCUGCCAGCACAUGAUUUGUAUGUAUGCAAUCAUCAUCUUGCGUGUG
Aegilops tauschii subsp. strangulata is the source of this 168-nucleotide non-coding RNA. The record is from RefSeq and is a predicted model, not a curated record. Lineage: Eukaryota; Viridiplantae; Streptophyta; Magnoliopsida; Poales; Poaceae.